UGGGGAAUAUUGGACAAUGGGGGAAACCCUGAUCCAGCGACGCCGCGUGUGUGAAGAAGGCCUGCGGGUUGUAAAGCACUUUUAGUGGGGACAAAAAGCCAUCGACUAAUACUCUGUGGUCUUGAUUUAACCCAAAGAAAAAGCACCGGCUAACUCUGUGCCAGCAGCCGCGGUAAUACAGAGGGUGCGAGCGUUAAUCGGAAUUACUGGGCGUAAAGCGCGCGUAGACGGUUUUGUAAGUCAGAUGUGAAAUCCCUGGGCUCAACCUGGGAACUGCAUUUGAUACUGCAUGGCUAGAGUAUCGAAGAGGGAAGUGGAAUUUCCGGUGUAGCGGUGAAAUGCGUAGAUAUCGGAAGGAACACCAGUGGCGAAAGCGACUUCCUGGUCGAAUACUGACGUUCAUGUGCGAAAGCGUGGGGAGCAAAC
RNAcentral lists this ribosomal RNA (426 nucleotides) under uncultured bacterium. Its description in RNAcentral is "bacterial SSU rRNA". It matches the Rfam family "Bacterial small subunit ribosomal RNA", at positions 355 to 773 of the family's 1533-position model. The record is from RNAcentral.